This 2735-nucleotide ribosomal RNA is filed under the name Klebsiella oxytoca. RNAcentral's name for it is "bacterial LSU rRNA". It matches the Rfam family "Bacterial large subunit ribosomal RNA". The record is from RNAcentral. Lineage: Bacteria; Pseudomonadati; Pseudomonadota; Gammaproteobacteria; Enterobacterales; Enterobacteriaceae.
AACGAGGCGAACCGGGGGAACUGAAACAUCUAAGUACCCCGAGGAAAAGAAAUCAACCGAGAUUCCCCCAGUAGCGGCGAGCGAACGGGGAGCAGCCCGGAGUCUGAAUCAGCUUGUGUGUUAGUGGAAGCGUCUGGAAAGUCGCAGGGUACAGGGUGAUACUCCCGUACACUAAAACGCACAGGCUGUGAACUCGAAGAGUAGGGCGGGACACGUGGUAUCCUGUCUGAAUAUGGGGGGACCAUCCUCCAAGGCUAAAUACUCCUGACUGACCGAUAGUGAACCAGUACCGUGAGGGAAAGGCGAAAAGAACCCCGGCGAGGGGAGUGAAAAAGAACCUGAAACCGUGUACGUACAAGCAGUAGGAGCCCACUNGUUGGGUGACUGCGUACCUUUUGUAUAAUGGGUCAGCGACUUAUAUUCUGUAGCAAGGUUAACCGUAUAGGGGAGCCGCAGGGAAACCGAGUCUUAACUGGGCGUUAAGUUGCAGGGUAUAGACCCGAAACCCGGUGAUCUAGCCAUGGGCAGGUUGAAGGUUGGGUAACACUAACUGGAGGACCGAACCGACUAAUGUUGAAAAAUUAGCGGAUGACUUGUGGCUGGGGGUGAAAGGCCAAUCAAACCGGGAGAUAGCUGGUUCUCCCCGAAAGCUAUUUAGGUAGCGCCUCGUGAACUCAUCUUCGGGGGUAGAGCACUGUUUCGGCUAGGGGGUCAUCCCGACUUACCAACCCGAUGCAAACUACGAAUACCGAAGAAUGUUAUCACGGGAGACACACGGCGGGUGCUAACGUCCGUCGUGAAGAGGGAAACAACCCAGACCGCCAGCUAAGGUCCCAAAGUCAUGGUUAAGUGGGAAACGAUGUGGGAAGGCCCAGACAGCCAGGAUGUUGGCUUAGAAGCAGCCAUCAUUUAAAGAAAGCGUAAUAGCUCACUGGUCGAGUCGGCCUGCGCGGAAGAUGUAACGGGGCUAAACCAUGCACCGAAGCUGCGGCAGCGACACUAUGUGUUGUUGGGUAGGGGAGCGUUCUGUAAGCCGUUGAAGGUGGCCUGUGAGGGUUGCUGGAGGUAUCAGAAGUGCGAAUGCUGACAUAAGUAACGAUAAUGCGGGUGAAAAACCCGCACGCCGGAAGACCAAGGGUUCCUGUCCAACGUUAAUCGGGGCAGGGUGAGUCGACCCCUAAGGCGAGGCCGAAAGGCGUAGUCGAUGGGAAACAGGUUAAUAUUCCUGUACUCGGUGUUACUGCGAAGGGGGGACGGAGAAGGCUAUGUUGGCCGGGCGACGGUUGUCCCGGUUUAAGCAUGUAGGCGGAUGUUCCAGGUAAAUCCGGAACGUUACUAACGCUGAGGUGUGAUGACGAGGCACUACGGUGCUGAAGUGACAAAUGCCCUGCUUCCAGGAAAAGCCUCUAAGCAUCAGGUAACAUCAAAUCGUACCCCAAACCGACACAGGUGGUCAGGUAGAGAAUACCAAGGCGCUUGAGAGAACUCGGGUGAAGGAACUAGGCAAAAUGGUGCCGUAACUUCGGGAGAAGGCACGCUGAUGGUAGGUGAAGUGACUUGCUCAUGGAGCUGAAAUCAGUCGAAGAUACCAGCUGGCUGCAACUGUUUAUUAAAAACACAGCACUGUGCAAACACGAAAGUGGACGUAUACGGUGUGACGCCUGCCCGGUGCCGGAAGGUUAAUUGAUGGGGUUAUCCGUAAGGAGAAGCUCUUGAUCGAAGCCCCGGUAAACGGCGGCCGUAACUAUAACGGUCCUAAGGUAGCGAAAUUCCUUGUCGGGUAAGUUCCGACCUGCACGAAUGGCGUAAUGAUGGCCAGGCUGUCUCCACCCGAGACUCAGUGAAAUUGAACUCGCUGUGAAGAUGCAGUGUACCCGCGGCAAGACGGAAAGACCCCGUGAACCUUUACUAUAGCUUGACACUGAACACUGGUCCUUGAUGUGUAGGAUAGGUGGGAGGCUUUGAAGUGUGGACGCCAGUCUGCAUGGAGCCAUCCUUGAAAUACCACCCUUUAAUGGCUGGUGUUCUAACGUGGGCCCCUGAUCGGGGUUGCGGACAGUGUCUGGUGGGUAGUUUGACUGGGGCGGUCUCCUCCUAAAGAGUAACGGAGGAGCACGAAGGUCAGCUAAUCCUGGUCGGACAUCAGGAGGUUAGUGCAAUGGCAUAAGCUGGCUUGACUGCGAGCGUGACGGCGCGAGCAGGUGCGAAAGCAGGUCAUAGUGAUCCGGUGGUUCUGAAUGGAAGGGCCAUCGCUCAACGGAUAAAAGGUACUCCGGGGAUAACAGGCUGAUACCGCCCAAGAGUUCAUAUCGACGGCGGUGUUUGGCACCUCGAUGUCGGCUCAUCACAUCCUGGGGCUGAAGUAGGUCCCAAGGGUAUGGCUGUUCGCCAUUUAAAGUGGUACGCGAGCUGGGUUUAGAACGUCGUGAGACAGUUCGGUCCCUAUCUGCCGUGGGCGCUGGAGAAUUGAGGGGGGCUGCUCCUAGUACGAGAGGACCGGAGUGGACGCAUCACUGGUGUUCGGGUUGUCAUGCCAAUGGCAUUGCCCGGUAGCUAAAUGCGGAAGAGAUAAGUGCUGAAAGCAUCUAAGCACGAAACUUGCCCCGAGAUGAGUUCUCCCUGACUCCUUGAGAGUCCUGAAGGAACGUUGAAGACGACGACGUUGAUAGGCCGGGUGUGUAAGCGCAGCGAUGCGUUGAGCUAACCGGUACUAAUGAACCGUGAGGCUUAACCUU